Molecule: transfer RNA, 62 nt
Filed under: Bacillus toyonensis biovar Thuringiensis MC28
Lineage: Bacteria; Bacillati; Bacillota; Bacilli; Caryophanales; Bacillaceae
Description: tRNA-Val (GAC) (tRNA-Val-GAC-2-1)
Source: RNAcentral
AACUUAGUAAGAAGAGCGCCACCUUGACAGGGUGGAGGUCGUGAGUUCGAGCCUCUCCGGGG